RNAcentral lists this transfer RNA (74 nucleotides) under Thiothrix nivea DSM 5205. It matches the Rfam family "tRNA". Rfam says of the family: Transfer RNA (tRNA) molecules are approximately 80 nucleotides in length. Their secondary structure includes four short double-helical elements and three loops (D, anti-codon, and T loops). The record is from Rfam by way of RNAcentral. Lineage: Bacteria; Pseudomonadati; Pseudomonadota; Gammaproteobacteria; Thiotrichales; Thiotrichaceae.
GCGCCCGUAGCUCAAUUGGAUAGAGCAACGGCCUUCUAAGCCGUAGGUUGCAGGUUCGAGCCCUGCCGGGCGUG